This 463-nucleotide ribosomal RNA is filed under the name Filifactor alocis. RNAcentral's name for it is "bacterial SSU rRNA". It matches the Rfam family "Bacterial small subunit ribosomal RNA", at positions 28 to 487 of the family's 1533-position model. The record is from RNAcentral. Lineage: Bacteria; Bacillati; Bacillota; Clostridia; Peptostreptococcales; Filifactoraceae.
GAUGAACGCUGGCGGCGUGCUUAACACAUGCAAGUCGAACGAACGACUAUUAACAGAACCUUUCGGGGCGAAGAUGAUAGAAGUUAGUGGCGGACGGGUGUGUAACGCGUGGGUAAUCUGCCUUUGUCAAAGGAAUAACUAUUCGAAAGAAUAGCUAAAACCGUAUAACAUAUUAAUAGGGCAUCCUAAUAAUAUCAAAACGAUAGUGGACAAAGAUGAGCCCGCGCCUGAUUAGCUAGUUGGUGAGAUAAAAGCCCACCAAGGCAACGAUCAGUAGCCGACCUGAGAGGGUGAACGGCCACAUUGGAACUGAGACACGGUCCAAACUCCUACGGGAGGCAGCAGUGGGGAAUAUUGCACAAUGGGGGGAACCCUGAUGCAGCAACGCCGCGUGAGUGAAGAAGGCAUUCGUGUCGUAAAACUCUGUAGUAGGGGAAGAAAGAAAUGACAGUACCCUAAAAGA